GAGGAGUCAAAUAUUUUCAGCCCUCACCCGGUCUGGGUCCUCUUGUUCCAGCUGUGGGCCAUUUUGUGCUGAGCGGAAGAGAAGUUAUUUUGAGUGUUC
Chiloscyllium plagiosum (whitespotted bambooshark) is the source of this 99-nucleotide non-coding RNA. NCBI's taxonomy places the organism in Eukaryota, Metazoa, Chordata, Chondrichthyes, Orectolobiformes, Hemiscylliidae. The record is from RefSeq and is a predicted model, not a curated record.